Molecule: long non-coding RNA, 1059 nt
Organism: Solenopsis invicta (red fire ant)
Lineage: Eukaryota; Metazoa; Arthropoda; Insecta; Hymenoptera; Formicidae
Exons: 3
Source: RefSeq, a predicted model, not a curated record
CGCAGGUUCCCGAUCUCUGUUGGUACUCUCCGCUUCCUGGGUAUACGAGUCUCUCGGCGGUGGUUCCUGCGCCUUCGUAUCAGCAAUUUGCAGGGAGGACAUCGCGGGAUGAGACGCGACUCAGGCGUGUGUCUUCGAGAAGGAGAUUCUAGAGCUCCAGACAGCGUGCACGGUAACAGAUUUUCCAACCAAUUUCGAGGCCAAACCGUCGCGUCGCGCGAAACACUUCCGCGGCACUGUACACGAUUUCAGCGGUGAUUUCAGCGGAGAUUGACAUCCUGCAAUCCUGUUCCCACGGAUUCCAAUCCCGGAUUUAUUUAUCCGGCCGAAUUAUCAGACAUCGUCGUAUAUCGGCGUGAUACAGCUAAUGCGCACUAUCUUUCCUCAAUGAUCGAUAAGAUUAAAUGGCAGCAGGAGAAUGACAUUUAUCUGUGUGAGAAUGUGCUUACUUGACAUUUGGUGAAACUCGGGCACGUAUUGCUCGCUGUCCUCGGUCUCGGAGCUGCUACCUGCACAAAGGAGAUAUUUUUCAUGUUAGUUCAAGAUUUGCGAUCAAUUUAGCAGAAAUUACGUUUGUCGAGAUAGAAAACAAAAAAAAAUCCACCUGAAUAUCUAACGAAAAUGUCGAACUUCCGUCCCGCAGUAAAAUCAUCCCCCUUUGAUCAUCCGUUACAUUACGUCCAUCGCGUAUUACAUCGCAGUUGGGCAAGGUAAUUAAAAUUAAUGUUCCGAGUGAAUAGUAGCUGCACGUAAUUAUCUUCGCUGGCGGCUUAGGGCUUUAAUUUCAUACUACAUCUCUAAAUUCGAAAAAUCAAUAGCGAGAUUUCGCGACUUUAAUAACAUUUUGGUUUUUAUUAUAAAUCCACUUAUCGUUACCGUUCAAAGACAACCAAUAAUUUUAUUUGACGAAUAAUUUCAUGAUUAUAUCCACGCAUUCUACCUUAAUUUAUAUCGGCAUGAACAAAUAAAAUGUCUAUUUAUUAUCAGUACAGGGGAAAAAUUUUAAAUAAAUUUAGAGCCGGUUGUUCCAUCUCCAGAUAAAUCAGGUGAUAAAUUAUC